RNAcentral lists this ribosomal RNA (1473 nucleotides) under metagenome. Its description in RNAcentral is "bacterial LSU rRNA". It matches the Rfam family "Bacterial large subunit ribosomal RNA", at positions 1426 to 2925 of the family's 2925-position model. The record is from RNAcentral.
UAGGUGGAGAUUCCUGUACUAUGAUAUGACAGAACUGUGGGGACACGUGCAGAGAGCGGAAGCCGGGAAUGGGAUCCCGGUGCAAGCGAGGUACCAGAUGCGUUGGAAAAACCGCGCAUCAAUGGGAAGACGUGAUGCGGAGUGAAGUUUAGUAAUGAAGUCCGUGAGCUGUGCGUCAAGAAAAGCCGCUAUUGUUCAUACCAUACCCGUACCGUAAACCGACACAGGUGGAUGAGGAGAGAAUCCUAAGGCCGGCGGAAGAAGCAUUGUCAAGGAACUCGGCAAAAUGACCCCGUAACUUCGGGAGAAGGGGUGCCACUGAGAAGUGGCCGCAGAGAAUAGGCUCAAGCAACUGUUUAGCAAAAACACAGGUCUAUGCGAAACCGUAAGGUGAGGUAUAUGGGCUGACGCCUGCCCGGUGCUGGAAGGUUAAGAGGAGAGGUUAGCGCAAGCGAAGCUUUGAAUUUAAGCCCCAGUAAACGGCGGCCGUAACGAUAACGGUCCUAAGGUAGCGAAAUUCCUUGUCGGGUAAGUUCCGACCCGCACGAAAGGCGUAAUGAUUUGAGCGCUGUCUCGACGAUGCAUCCGGUGAAAUUGAAGUACCAGUGAAGAUGCUGGUUACCUGCGCCAGGACGGAAAGACCCCAUGGAGCUUUACUCCAGUUUGGUACUGGGAUCCGGUACUGCAUGUACAGGAUAGGUGGGAGGCUAAGAAAUGGUAACGCCAGUUGCCAUGGAGCCGCUGUUGGGAUACCACCCUUGCAGUAUUGGGUUUCUAACCAGCCGCCGUGACCCGGCGGUGGGACAAUGCCAGACGGGGAGUUUGACUGGGGCGGUUGCCUCCGAAAGGGUAUCGGAGGCGCCCAAAGGUUCCCUCAGGAUGGACGGAAACCAUCCAAAGAGUGCAAAGGCAGAAGGGAGCUUGACUGCGACACCGACGGGUGGAGCAGGUACGUAAGUAGGGCUUAGUGAUCCGGUGGUAUUAAGUGGGAAUGCCAUCGCUCAACGGAUAAAAGCUACCCUGGGAUAACAGGCUUAUCACUCCCAAGAGUUCACAUCGACGGAGUGGUUUGGCACCUCGAUGUCGGCUCAUCGCAUCCUGGGGCUGUAGUAGGUCCCAAGGGUUGGGCUGUUCGCCCAUUAAAGCGGUACGCGAGCUGGGUUCAGAACGUCGUGAGACAGUUCGGUCCCUAUCCGGCGUGGGCGUAGGAUAUCUGAGAGGAGCUGUCCUUAGUACGAGAGGACCGGGAUGGACGGGCCGCUGGUGCACCGGUUAGACUGCCAAGUCUAUAGCCGGGUAGCCAAGCCCGGAAGGGAUAAACGCUGAAGGCAUCUAAGCGUGAAGCCCCCCUCAAGAUGAGAUAUCCCAUCCGAAAGGAGUAAACCCCCUUGAAGACGACGAGGUUGAUAGGGCAGAGGUGGAAGUGUGGUAACACAUGGAGCUGACUGCUACUAAUAGGGUGAGGGCUUGACC